Molecule: small nucleolar RNA, 107 nt
Organism: Lupinus angustifolius (narrow-leaved blue lupine)
Lineage: Eukaryota; Viridiplantae; Streptophyta; Magnoliopsida; Fabales; Fabaceae
Rfam family: Plant small nucleolar RNA R71
About the family: R71 is a member of the C/D box family of snoRNAs containing the C (UGAUGA) and D (CUGA) box motifs. Multiple nearly identical copies of this snoRNA have been identified in Arabidopsis, and it is thought to function as a 2'-O-ribose methylation guide for 18S ribosomal RNA.
Source: Rfam
AUUUGAUGAUGAGGGCAGCUUGCACAUAGCCUCUUGAAUCUCUCCCAAUAUUCAUAUAAACCUUCUGCAUGUAGUUGUUUGAUUCCUGAAAUAUCUUUUAUGAUUGU